CCUUGGCUGUGUGCUCAACCAGCUCCCCUUGACUAUAUUUUGGAAUGUCUUAUCCUUCAACCAGCAGUCUAGAACCCUGAACGGUUUGUGUCCCCAAUCAACAUUUUUUGCUCUGAGUAGGAUAGGGCAAUGAUCCGAGAAAUUUCUAUCCAAGAUGUACUGUGUACUUCCUGGCCAUUUUGACACCCAAUCGUCAGAAACAAGGAACCUGUCCAGCUUACUUUUUGCAGUCCCAUUUGGUCAGGUCCAUGUGAAUUUUCUGCCAACACCUGGCACUUCUUCAACUUCUAAUUUUGAUAUCCACUCGUUGAACUCUGAAAUACUGUGAUGAUCCCCCUCUCUUUGUGACAUGGUCAGCCUCUCAG
This 365-nucleotide unclassified non-coding RNA is filed under the name uncultured bacterium. RNAcentral describes it as "contains 16S-23S intergenic spacer region". The record is from RNAcentral.